ACAGUAUGGUGGUUUCUAAAAAAAUUAAAUGUAGAAUUACCAUAUGAUUCAGCAAUGCCAUUUCUGGGUGUACACCCAAAAGAAUUUAAAGCAGGGACUUGAAGAGAGAUUUGUUCACCCAUGUUCAUAGCAGCAUUAUUUAAAGCAGCCAAGUGGGAGAAA
Sapajus apella (tufted capuchin) is the source of this 162-nucleotide long non-coding RNA. RefSeq lists it as uncharacterized. The record is from RefSeq and is a predicted model, not a curated record. The transcript has 3 exons. Lineage: Eukaryota; Metazoa; Chordata; Mammalia; Primates; Cebidae.